This 440-nucleotide ribosomal RNA is filed under the name uncultured bacterium. Its description in RNAcentral is "partial 16S ribosomal RNA". It matches the Rfam family "Bacterial small subunit ribosomal RNA", at positions 338 to 795 of the family's 1533-position model. The record is from RNAcentral.
CCUACGGGUGGCAGCAGUGGGGAAUAUUGCACAAUGGGGGAAACCCUGAUGCAGCGACGCCGCGUGAGUGAAGAAGUAUCUCGGUACGUAAAGCUCUAUCAGCAGGGAAGAAAAUGACGGUACCUGACUAAGAAGCACCGGCUAACUACGUGCCAGCAGCCGCGGUAAUACGUAGGGGGCAAGCGUUAUCCGGAUUUACUGGGUGUAAAGGGAGCGUAGUCGGCAGGACAAGUCUGGAGUGAAAUCCCGGGGCUUAACCCCGGAACUGCUUUGGAAACUGUGCGGCUGGAGUGCAGGAGGGGUAAGCGGAAUUCCUAGUGUAGCGGUGAAAUGCGUAGAUAUUAGGAAGAACACCAGUGGCGAAGGCGGGUUGCUAGACUGUAACUGACGCUGAGGCACGAAAGCGUGGGGAGCAAACAGGAUUAGAUACCCGAGUAGUC